AGUGAACGCUGGCGGUAGGCCUAACACAUGCAAGUCGAACGGCAGCACAGUAAGAGCUUGCUCUUACGGGUGGCGAGUGGCGGACGGGUGAGGAAUACAUCGGAAUCUACUUUUUCGUGGGGGUUAACGUAGGGAAACUUACGCUAAUACCGCAUACGACCUACGGGUGAAAGCAGGGGAUCUUCGGACCUUGCGCGAUUGAAUGAGCGGAUGUCGGAUUAGCUAGUUGGCGGGGUAAAGGCCCACCAAGGCGAGGAUCCGUAGCUGGUCUGAGAGGAGGAUAGGCCACAUUGGAACUGAGACACGGUCCAGACUCCUACGGGAGGCAGCAGUGGGGAAUAUUGGACAAUGGGCGCAAGCCUGAUCCAGCCAGACCGCGUGGGUGAAGAAGGCCUUCGGGUUGUAAAGCCCUUUUGUUGGGAAAGAAAAGCAGCAGGUUAAUACCCCGCUGUUCUGACGGUACCCAAAGAAUAAGCACCGGCUAACUUCGUG
This 492-nucleotide ribosomal RNA is filed under the name uncultured bacterium. RNAcentral describes it as "partial 16S ribosomal RNA". It matches the Rfam family "Bacterial small subunit ribosomal RNA", at positions 29 to 507 of the family's 1533-position model. The record is from RNAcentral.